AUGUUCUUUCAGCUACUCAGACCUACAUUCUCUAUUGAAUACAUUAACAUACUCUCGUUUUUUUCCCUCUCUGCCGACAUUUCACCUCCAGGUUCAGCUUUCAGGCCUCUUUCCUCCCCUUUUUCUCCCUCUAUUUUUGGGCCAGACAAUUCACCUCUACCUCUCUCUCUCUCUCCCACCCCCUUAGAGUUUCUCUGUACUUCUCCAUCCCUCCAUCCUCAGGGUUUCUCUGUACUUCUCCAUCCCUCCAUCCUCAGAGUUUCUCUGUACUUCUCCAUCCCUCCAUCCUCAGUUUCUCUGUACUUCUCCAUCCCUCCAUCCUCAGGGUUUCUCUGUACUUCUCCAUCCCUCCAUCCUCAGGGUUUCUCUGUACUUCUCCAUCCCUCCAUCCUCAGAGUUUCUAUGUACUUCUCCAUCCCUCCAUCCUCAGGGUUUCUCUGUACUUCUCCAUCCCUCCAUCCUCAGAGUUUCUCUGUACUUCUCCAUCCCUCCAUCCUCAGUUUCUCUGUACUUCUCCAUCCCUCCAUCCUCAGGGUUUCUCUGUACUUCUCCAUCCCUCCAUCCUCAGGGUUUCUCUGUACUUCUCCAUCCCUCCAUCCUCAGAGUUUCUCUGUACUUCUCCAUCCUCAGAGUUUCUCUGUACUUCUCCAUCCCUCCAUCCUCAGAGUUUCUCUGUACUUCUCCAUCCUCAGAGUUUCUCUGUACUUCUCCAUCCCUCCAUCCUCAGAGUUUCUCUGUACUUCUCCAUCCCUCCAUCCUCAGGGUUUCUCUGUACUUCUCCAUCCCUCCAUCCUAAAUGUUUCUAUGUACUUCUCCAUCCCUCCAUCCUCAGAGUUUCUCUGUACUUCUCCAUCCCUCCAUCCUCAGGGUUUCUCUGUACUUCUCCAUCCCUCCAUCCUAAAGGUUUCUAUGUACUUCUCCAUCCCUCCAUCCUCAGGGUUUCUUGGGCCUCUCCAUCCCUCCAUCCUCAGGGUUUCUCUGUACUUCUCCAUCCCUCCAUUUUCAGAGUUUCUAUGUACUUCUCCAUCCCUCCAUCCUCAGAGUUUCUCUGUACUUCUCCAUCCCUCCAUCCUCAAGGUUUCUCUGUACUUCUCCAUCCCUCCAUCCUCAGGGUUUCUCUGUACUUCUCCAUCCCUCCAUCCUCAGGGUUUCUCUGUACUUCUCUAUCCCUCCAUCCUCAGGGUUUCUUGGGCCGUCCAUUGCGGGACAGGUUCUCCACAGUGUUACUGA
This 1230-nucleotide long non-coding RNA is filed under the name Oncorhynchus kisutch (coho salmon). RNAcentral's name for it is "lncRNA (ENSOKIG00005004686.1)". Lineage: Eukaryota; Metazoa; Chordata; Actinopteri; Salmoniformes; Salmonidae. The record is from RNAcentral.